This is a long non-coding RNA of Homo sapiens (human), 3794 nucleotides long. RefSeq lists it as uncharacterized. The transcript has 2 exons. NCBI's taxonomy places the organism in Eukaryota, Metazoa, Chordata, Mammalia, Primates, Hominidae. The record is from RefSeq and is a predicted model, not a curated record.
UUUAUUUCCUCCCCUUUUUUUCUUUCUUUCUUUCUUUUUCUUUUUUUUUCUGAGAAGGUACCUGCAGUUAUCUCAGUUCAGUUCCCUGCUAGGAGUUUUAGUGAAGAAUGGUGGUUUGUGGUUGGAGGGUAGCUGUCUCAUCAUCAUUUGGGAGCUGGUGACACUAGACUUGCUGAUGUGCCCUGAGAGAGCAUUAAGAAGACAAAUUUGCAUUUAGAGAACCUGGGCCUGCUUCCAUCAUUUGAAGGCUGAGGAGGCUUGAGGCGCGCAUCCAUACAGCUGUGGAAGAGAUGCUGCUGUCAUUGGCCAAAACCAGCCCCGGAGACAGCAUGAUCCUGUCUUGCUACAGUGAGAAAACCCCCUUGUUUGCUUCCCAUGAUCCCUGGCUGCUGCGUGGUGAUAGGGCUUUGGGUAGCUGUCUUAGGAGACUCUGCCAGGCAGAGGAGGGAAGUAGGAGAAGAAAUGGGAAGGUUGGGGCUCCACCUUGUUGAGAGUGGCCAGGACAGGUGGUGAUUUUGGUGGCACCAGAGAAUAGAGAUCUCAUAAACUCCAGUUGCUGCCAAUCUUCUACGUAGCUCUUACAGUAAGGCUACCCCAGGUAGGGAAGAGGAUACACUGGAUACCAGGUGAUGCAGCAAAUGCAUUCACAUUUGCUACGUCAUAUCCUGCUCUCAGUACCCCUGAAAGGUAGGCAUUUUAAUCUCCACUUUAACCCACAGGGAAGAGAUCCACUUAGAGGAGCUAAGCAGUGGGGUGACCAUCACAUAUCUAGUAAAUGGUUUGGACCAAGGCCUGCCUGGCCCUAAAGCCCAUGCUUUUCAAAAUCAUAUCAGGCAGCCUCUCAAUUUCUCUGAGGAAGCUGGCACUAUGACAGUAAGAGGCUUGGCCAGUGGCAGAGCUGGUCUUGAAUCUGGGUCUUUUCCCAUGUCACUCAGCUGAGUCCCACUUGACCCACAGGAAGUCCAUUACAAAUAAGUACUUGCCCUUCCCAAAACAUCUACUGUUUCUGGUGAAUAAAAAGCUCUGGGGAGGUCGGGCACGGUGGCUCACGCCUGUAAUCCCAGCACAUUGGGAGGCCGAGGCAGGCGGAUCACGAGGUCAGGAGAUCGAGACCAUCCUGGCUAACAUGGUGAAACCCUGUCUGUACUAAAAAUACAAAAAAUUAGCCGGGCGUGGUGGCGGGCACCUGUAGUCCCAGCUACUCAGGAGGUUGAGGCAGGAGAAUGGCAUGAACCUGGGAGGCGGAGCUUGCAGUGAGCCGAGAUCGCGCCACUGUACUCCAGCCUGGGCGACAGAGCAAGACUGGGUCUCAAAAAUAAACAAAUAAAAAACAAAAACAAACAACAACAACAACAACAAAAAAAGCUCUGGGGAACUUGGGGACAAGUACUGUCACUGUGGAGAUCUCUCUGUCUCUCAGACUCAUCUCUCUCUCUCUCCCUCCAUCCAUCCAUCCAUCCAUCCAUGCAUGCAUACAUAUAUCAUCCAUUCAUCUGAUAUAGGAGUUAAGAAAUCCCUUAGGCAGAUAGUGAAGGUAUGGGAGUGCUCAGUAAGGUUUUUUCUUUUUAAUGGGGAGCAGCCACAAAUCAUUUUCUAACAAAAGCAGCAUGUAAAGUCAAGCUGCAGACAUAGACAAGAAAGCUGGGGGCUUGUACGGGUGAAUUCAGGCAGGAACUAGGGCCUAGACAUGUUCAAGAUGGUGGCUCCAUCUUCCCUUCUCUGCCAGCCACGUGUACAGUAAGGAGCAGACAAGAUGGCAUUGGCCAAGGGGAGAGUUCGUUUGCAUAAUAAGAUUAGGGUGGAGGGACCAGCCUUCUCUGUGUGCUAUGUAAACAUCACACCUGAUCAAACCAAUCUGUGAGCCCUACGUAAAUCAGACACUACCUCCUCAAGCCAGACUACAAAAUCCGGCACAUCAGCCACCAGCCCAUCUUUUCUGCUUGGAAGACCCCUCUCUCUCUAUAGAGAGAGCUGUUUUUCUUUCUCUUUCCUUCUGCCUAUUAAACCUCUGCUCCUAAACUCCUCAUGUGUGUCUGUGUCCUAAAUUUUCCUGGCACCAGAUGAUGAACCCUGGGUAUAUACCCCAGAAAACAUAGCCACUUCACAUCCAUGCCAACAUGCAUGCAUGCAUCCAUGCAUCCAUCCAUCCAUAAUGCAUGCCCACAUGCAUCCAUCUAGCCAUCCAUAAUCAUGCAUACAUGCAUCCAUAAUAAUGCAUGUCUACAUGCAUCCAGCAUCCAUCCAUCCAUCCAUAAUGCACGCCUACAUGCAUCCAUCUAUUCAUCUAUCCAUCCAUCCAUCUAUAAUGCAUACAUACAUACAUGCAUCCAUCCAUCCAUAAUGCAUGCAUACAUGCAUCCAUCCAUCAAUCUGUAAUGCAUGCAUACAUGCAUCCACCCAUCCAUCCAUCUAUCCAUCCAUCCAUCUAUAAUACAUACAUGCAUUCACCCAUCCAUAAUGCACACAUACAUGCACCCAUCCAUGCACCCAUCAUCCAUCCAUAAUGCAUGCAUAUGUGCAUCCAUCCAUCCAUCUAUAAUGCAUACAUACAUGCAUUCUUCCAUCCUUCUGUCCAUCCAUCCAUCCAUCCAUCCAUCCAUCCAUCCAUCCAUCCAUGUGUCUAUCUACCUUUGGAUUGGACACACAAAGCUGAUGACGUGAAACUGCUUCAGUGCCUCAUCGGCACCGUUCUCCCCCAAAACUUUGUCAAGAUGGCUGCUGUUGGCUGUGUAUUUUCACGGCUGGGCCUUUAUACCUGUUGGUGCCACCAGCUGAGUUCCUUUCUUCCUGCGUUUGCCUGAACAGUGCCAAUUGUUCUCCUGUAUCUGUUGCAAUCUGUGUCAGAAAGGGCGGGGUUGGGGGGAAGGGUUUUCUAUGAAACAAAACAAAACAAAAAACAAGUUGCAGGGAAACUGCUCAGUUAGGCCUAGCAUCAGGGAAGGCUCCCUGGGUGGGAAAGAUUAUCCUCCACAGGUGAGUUGGUAGACACCAUUCGCUGUGUUGAACUCAAUGGGGAGGUAAAAUUUGAUGGCCAGCAAGCCGGGUGUCACAGGUAGUGUGCUCUCCCCAUAGACACCUGCGCAUCAGAUGUCAGAACUCUUCUGUGCUCUUUGGAACUUGCUCCUUGCAGUGGUGAAUAACUUUUUAAGGUGACAGUACAGAGUCGCACACUGAGAUGGGGAGGAGCUACACGUCUUGGUUCCAGACCUAGCUCUGCCUCUUGUUGCUAUCUGUGUGACCUUGAGUGAGUCCCUCCCAUGUUUUUAUCCCUCCAUUUUUCCAUCUGUCAAUAGAGGGGCACCUUUAAUGACUGAAACAGGACUCUGAAAACAAAGUAGUAUCCUGAAAUGGAAGGAAGGCAUUGUUAGUGUUGGAGAUGGGGAGUCCCAUCACUUGCACUCUGGUGCUGAGACACACAGUCAUGCAUCACGUGUUUGUGCUUAUUAAAAUGUGCUGCAUCAUGUCUUCUCCUCUUUCUUCCCAAAUUUGUAUGUUGAAGUCCUAUCUCCUGGUACCUCAGCACGUGACUGUAUUUGGAGUUAGGGUCUUAAAGAGAUGAUGAAGUCAAAAUGAGGCUAUUUUGGUGGGCCCUCACUCAAUAUGACUGAUGUCCUUAAAAGAAUAAUAGAUAAAGACACAGAUGGGUACAGAGGGAAGGAAGAUGUGAAGACACAGGGGGAAUAUGGCCUCUACAAGCCACAAAGAGAUGCCUCAGAAGAAACCAAUCCUGUCGACACCUUGAUCUUUGACUUCCAGCCUCCAGAAUUGUGAGACAAUACAUCUGUGUUGUUUAA